ACGCCCGUGGAGCAAGGCGGAGCGGGCGGCGAUUGAAUGCCCUCCGAAGGCAGGGGUUGCUGGUUCGAUCCCAGCCGGGCGCGCCA
Molecule: transfer RNA, 86 nt
Filed under: Burkholderia sp. BDU5
Lineage: Bacteria; Pseudomonadati; Pseudomonadota; Betaproteobacteria; Burkholderiales; Burkholderiaceae
Description: tRNA-Arg
Source: RNAcentral